UAAGUUAAUAAGGGCGCACGGUGGAUGCCUUGGCACUAGGAGCCGACGAAGGACGUGACAAACGACGAUAUGCCUUGGGUAGCUGUAAGUAAGCGAUGAUCCAGGGAUUUCCGAAUGGGGGAACCCAACAGGUAAUACCUGUUACCUACAUCUGUUAAGGAUGUGAGGAGGAAGACGCAGUGAACUGAAACAUCUAAGUAGCUGCAGGAAGAGAAAGCAAAAGCGAUUGCCUUAGUAGCGGCGAGCGAAACGGCAGAAGGGCAAACCGAAGAGUUUACUCUUCGGGGUUGUAGGACUGCAAUGUGGACUCAAAGAUUAUAGAAGAAUGAUUUGGGAAGAUCAGCCAAAGAGAGUAAUAGCCUCGUAUUUAAAAUAGUCUUUGUACUUAGCAGUAUCCUGAGUACGGCGGGACACGUGAAAUCCCGUCGGAAUCUGGGAGGACCAUCUCCCAACCCUAAAUACUCCCUAGUGACCGAUAGUGAACCAGUACCGUGAGGGAAAGGUGAAAAGCACCCCGGGAGGGGAGUGAAAUAGAACCUGAAACCGUGUGCCUACAACAAGUUCGAGCCCGUUAAUGGGUGAGAGCGUGCCUUUUGUAGAAUGAACCGGCGAGUUACGUUAUGAUGCGAGGUUAAGUUGAAGAGACGGAGCCGUAGGGAAACCGAGUCUGAAUAGGGCGCCUUAGUAUCAUGGCGUAGACCCGAAACCAUGUGACCUACCCAUGAGCAGGUUGAAGGUGCGGUAAGACGCACUGGAGGACCGAACCAGGGCACGUUGAAGAGUGCUUGGAUGACUUGUGGGUAGCGGAGAAAUUCCAAACGAACUUGGAGAUAGCUGGUUCUCUCCGAAAUAGCUUUAGGGCUAGCGUCGACAUUAGAGAUUCUUGGAGGUAGAGCACUGUUUGGGUGAGGGGUCCAUCCCGGAUUACCAAUCUCAGAUAAACUCCGAAUGCCAAUGAAUUAUGGUCGGCAGUCAGACUGCGAGUGCUAAGAUCCGUAGUCGAAAGGGAAACAGCCCAGACCACCAGCUAAGGUCCCAAAAUAAUUGUUAAGUGGAAAAGGAUGUGGGGUUGCACAGACAACUAGGAUGUUAGCUUAGAAGCAGCUAUUCAUUCAAAGAGUGCGUAAUAGCUCACUAGUCGAGUGACCCUGCGCCGAAAAUGUACCGGGGCUAAAACAAUUUACCGAAGCUGUGGAUACCUUUAUAGGUAUGGUAGGAGAGCGUUCUAUGUGUGAUGAAGGUAUACCGUGAGGAGUGCUGGAACGCAUAGAAGUGAGAAUGCCGGUAUGAGUAGCGAAAGACAGGUGAGAAUCCUGUCCACCGUAAGACUAAGGUUUCCAGGGGAAGGCUCGUCCGCCCUGGGUUAGUCGGGACCUAAGGAGAGACCGAAAGGUGUAUCCGAUGGACAACAGGUUGAUAUUCCUGUACUAGAGUAUGUAGUGAUGGAGGGACGCAGUAGGCUAACUAAAGCAGACGAUUGGAAGAGUCUGUCUAAGCAGUGAGGUGUGAAUUGAGUCAAAUGCUUAAUUCUAUAACAUUGAGCUGUGAUGGGGAGCGAAGUUUAGUAGCGAAGUUAGUGACGUCACACUGCCAAGAAAAGCUUCUAGCGUUUAAACAUACUCUACCCGUACCGCAAACCGACACAGGUAGUCGAGGCGAGUAGCCUCAGGUGAGCGAGAGAACUCUCGUUAAGGAACUCGGCAAAAUGACCCCGUAACUUCGGGAGAAGGGGUGCUGACUUAAAGUCAGCCGCAGUGAAUAGGCCCAAGCAACUGUUUAUCAAAAACACAGCUCUCUGCUAAAUCGUAAGAUGAUGUAUAGGGGGUGACGCCUGCCCGGUGCUGGAAGGUUAAGAGGAGUGCUUAGCGUAAGCGAAGGUAUGAAUUGAAGCCCCAGUAAACGGCGGCCGUAACUAUAACGGUCCUAAGGUAGCGAAAUUCCUUGUCGGGUAAGUUCCGACCCGCACGAAAGGCGUAAUGAUUUGGGCACUGUCUCAACGAGAGACUCGGUGAAAUUUUAGUACCUGUGAAGAUGCAGGUUACCCGCGACAGGACGGAAAGACCCCAUGGAGCUUUACUGCAGUUUGAUAUUGAGUGUCUGUACCACAUGUACAGGAUAGGUAGGAGUCUAAGAGAUCGGGACGCCAGUUUCGAAGGAGACGCUGUUGGGAUACUACCCUUGUGUUAUGGCCACUCUAACCCAGAUAGGUGAUCCCUAUCGGAGACAGUGUCUGACGGGCAGUUUGACUGGGGCGGUCGCCUCCUAAAAGGUAACGGAGGCGCCCAAAGGUUCCCUCAGAAUGGUUGGAAAUCAUUCGCAGAGUGUAAAGGUAUAAGGGAGCUUGACUGCGAGAGCUACAACUCGAGCAGGGACGAAAGUCGGGCUUAGUGAUCCGGUGGUUCCGUAUGGAAGGGCCAUCGCUCAACGGAUAAAAGCUACCCUGGGGAUAACAGGCUUAUCUCCCCCAAGAGUUCACAUCGACGGGGAGGUUUGGCACCUCGAUGUCGGCUCGUCGCAUCCUGGGGCUGUAGUCGGUCCCAAGGGUUGGGCUGUUCGCCCAUUAAAGCGGCACGCGAGCUGGGUUCAGAACGUCGUGAGACAGUUCGGUCCCUAUCCGUCGCGGGCGUAGGAAAUUUGAGAGGAUCUGCUCCUAGUACGAGAGGACCAGAGUGGACUUACCGCUGGUGUACCAGUUGUCUUGCCAAAGGCAUCGCUGGGUAGCUAUGUAGGGAAGGGAUAAACGCUGAAAGCAUCUAAGUGUGAAACCCACCUCAAGAUGAGAUUUCCCAUGAUUAUAUAUCAGUAAGAGCCCUGAGAGAUGAUCAGGUAGAUAGGUUAGAAGUGGAAGUGUGGCGACACAUGUAGCGGACUAAUACUAAUAGCUCGAGGACUUAUCCA
This 2898-nucleotide ribosomal RNA is filed under the name Streptococcus pneumoniae 6735-05. RNAcentral's name for it is "bacterial LSU rRNA". It matches the Rfam family "Bacterial large subunit ribosomal RNA". Lineage: Bacteria; Bacillati; Bacillota; Bacilli; Lactobacillales; Streptococcaceae. The record is from RNAcentral.